GGCUGCGCGCGCUUCCCGCCACUACGGCGCUGAGGCGAUUCCCGCCGGGCGGGGUCGCUGAGGGGCCAGAGGCGGCCCCGGGCCCUCAGCUCAGCCCCGCUGGAUCCUCACCACAGCCCCCCCCCAGGCUGCGACCACGCCACCGCCUCCUCAGCCCUGCCAGAACCGUGUGUACGUGUUCCUGUGUCACCUGCUCCAGGUGACCCUGCCUAGGCUGGGGUUUGAACUGGAUCUUCUCCAGAGGCCCCUUCCGACGCCAGCUAUUCUGUGUGUACCCGUGAAUUCCCGUUCCGGAGCACUCCAGCCUGUAUCUCACCUCCAGCCUCUCGCUGCGUGCUCCUCUCACCCUCUUCGGUAUCCCCAGUGCCGCUUUCCCUUUGCCUCAUCCCUCAUUAGCUGUGUAAUUAUUGCCUGCCGCAAUUACACCAGUCCCAGCGCUGAGGUCUGGCUGCAAGCUGGGAAUUUUCUGUCACAACACGCUCACAAGUUCUCCCAUGUGGGAAGGAUCCCUUUCCUGAUGAUACUUUGCUGUUUCAGGCAGUUUUUACCUGUGCCUCCGCUGCUCAGGGUGAGGAUUAUCAAGGCGAGGCAGAGCUGAGGUGUGGUCCACACUUGUGUCUUCACUGCCACAGUAAUCUCAGCUGUGCAGAUACCCUGAGAGGUGACUACUCUAAGUUUACUACCCCUGAGAAUGUCACCUUCUAAAGCCUGGCUCCAUUCAGUCUCCUCCGCUCCAGAGGAUCCCUGUGAUGUGGGGCUGAGCAGCCCUGGGAGCGCCGCAGACAGAUGGCUCCACUUUGCUGAACAUUCCUGUCUUGCCUGUGAGUGUGAAACAAACCCUGUGCAACUGCAGAAAAAUGUGUUCUUUGGCUUUUUUCCCCCUACAGUGCCUCUCUGGCAGGAGGGGAAGGUAGAGCAGAGGGGAAGAAGAGGCGGCGUGUGCUCCUUUACUACUGAAUUUUAAGACAUCAAGAAGGAAAAGAUGGAAUCAGAACAGCAGCUUCCUUUGCCCACUGCAAGGAUGUGCCCCAGCACCUGUGUUGGCUGAGCCAUGGAGCUACAAGUGGACGAGAAAAGCUGCUGUUGUCUCCUUCUCUAGUUUUACCUCAAAAUCCAUCCCAGAGGGGAAGAGCAGACCCUUCACAUUCCUUACAGCCACCAUGUGGGAUCACCACCUACUGCUCUGUCUCCUCUGCUCAACUUUUUGGGCAGGUUUGUGUCAUUUGUGUCCCUCUUCCUGUUCCCACAGGAAUGAAGCUGUGGGAAGGUCAGAGCCAACACAGGAGGAAGGCACAGGGAAAUCCACGGCCAGGGAAUCAGACUGCAGCAGGGAGCUGCUGCCAGAGUUAUUUGUGAUGGUGUCAAGCACUAUCACUGUCAGAAAUACUUCUAAUAAGUAUUAAAUAUUAAACACUUUUAGUAAGUACUAAGCACUGUUAAUAAGUACUAAGCCUUCUCAAUACAUUUCCUGCCCACAGGUGCCAUGGACUAGUAAGAUCCCCACUGUUCUUUACCCUGAAAUUAAUUCCAUUUGAUUCCACCUUGCUGUCCCUUAGAGCUCUCCUGAGCCUCCCCACAGCUUUGGGCUUUGGCUGUGCUGCUUGCAGAUCAUCCAGACACGUGGCAUUUGUUCCCAAGGAGUCACUGCACAAUUUGCACUCAAGGGUUUUACUGUUUCCACCCAGUGUCCAGAGCAAUGCCACAGUGUUGUUCUUCUCCUACAAACUUGUUUUCUGGUAUAGAUACAGCUUUGAAUUCGGUUUUAAAUCUGCCCAUGGAAACUCCAUUCCAGGGGUUAUUUUGUUGAUUUUCUUACCCUCCACCAACUCACAUUUUCCCCAGUUUACCACAUUUUUUCUUUAAAGUGAACUCUUUUGAAUUUACUAAGCACCCUUCUGUGAGGCUUAACAGCUAUCUGCCACAUUAUUACCUUUUUUUAUUACCUCUGUCAAACUGUGCACCUGCUGAAAUCAUCUUUUGCCCAUUCAUUCUCAAUCCUGCUGCGUCUCUGUUGCCAAAUGCUGUUUCUACAUUGACCAGCGGCUCCAAAGUUCAGCUCUGAAUACAUUCAGGCCUUGCCUCUGGCGUUGUGACACCAAGUUUUUGUAGAUUUUCUGCUUUUCCACUUUUACCUCAGCUUUUACAUUUAUAUUAGAAAGCCUUUUAUCUCUUUCUAACCUGCAGUCCACCUGGCUCAGGGGGAAUUUCAGCCUUUUUUCCAGCCCAGCCCAGCCCAUGUCUAGUCACCAACGGACUGGGAAGCUCCUCCCUGUCACUCUGCUCUUUCAUCCCUAAAAUUCCAUAUUCUACUGCUGCUUCUUCAGCUUCUUGUGCUUUGAAAAACCACUCUAAUAUCAUAUAUACACAUAAUCCAGUAUUCCCUGAGAAGGUCAUUACCUUCAGAUCUCAUUAUGCCUGAAUAUGUAUCCAAGGGGGCUGUGUUGGUUCUGUGCCCAGCCACGAGGGGAUGGGCACUGCUCUCUUCAGCUUGACCCUGUAUCUGCACAGGGAGUGAUGCCAAGCACAGCAAUCCCAGAACCAUCACUGAACCAAACGUUUAUUCAUGUGGGUCUCUCACUUGUUGAGGCACACAAAAACCUCCAGAGGCUUUCUGCCCACAGUAAAAUAAGCAUUACACAAGGAACUGUUACGUGGUGGUGCUGCCCUUCCUGCAGACACACACAUAAUCCUUGUCUUUAUGCCUGAACUGCUUUUUUAGUUCUUCUGCUUUAUUUAUUACGGGAUUUUUCUCCCUUUUACAUGUCUUGCAGAUAUAGGGACUUUUAGUCCUUUAAAUGGCAUUUGUUGCUGAUUCACUUCACCAAAGACAUCUCCAGAAGAACUCACAAUUCUCUUCCAAUUCAUCUUUAGUUUUUUUCAGCUGCAGAGUCUAACUGUCAUCCCUGCGGCUCCUUUAAUUCUAUGCAAAAAUCCCUCCUUUUCUGCUUUCAACCCCAAAAUGCAUAUUCUCUGCCUCUUCAUGGCUUUCAAGAUAUCACUUUUGAUUUCUUUAUUCCUUAUCAGCUUCCUAAUAAUUAGUUUUCCAUAUUUUUCCCAGUAUCACUCUAUACCAUCUCCCAGCUGAUCUCCCUAGCUGCCCCUCUCACACCCUUAAGGUUCUAUUUCCUUAUCUUUUCAAACAUUUCCCCCUUUCCAAGGGGUAUCCCAUUCCUCUAUGCAUUUUCAAACCAAACAACCCAUUUUUUGCAUCAAAUCUAGCAAGUGAAUAAAAAUGCACUUAAAUACACCGAAGUUGGUUUCAAUCUGGAGCAAGUGUAGAAUAGAAACACCACUGGAGCCAACAGGAAUUUGGAGCAGGAAAAUGUUAUGGACUGAGCAGCCUCCACAGGCUGCAGCUUUUCUAGAAACAUCCUAAUUUGAAACAGAUCCCAAGUGCUAACGAGGUAGGUGCUGUCAUCACUGGAGGACCAGGGGCUGGAAGUUGUGAUUCUUUUUCUACACCACUUUUGGCAUUACAGUAAUUUUACCCAAAGCAGGCACAUGAAGUAACACCUCCACUAAGCAAAGAGCAGCUGAAGACCACCAACUCAACACUGCUCACAGGGACAGCUCUCCCAAAGCCACAUAUCCCCACAGCCACAGCAUAUCCAUCCCUGCAGCUGGGCCAGCAACUUGGACAAACUCCCCUAUGGAAAGGACUGAAUGGAGUGGGAGCUGGUUUUAUUCCUGUUGCCGUUUCAGCACAAUUUAGCAGCUGGAAACGAGAAAGAGAAGCUGGUGCCACAUGACAAAGCUUUCCACAGUCAGCAUCCCUACAGCAGCGUUUAAAGAAGCAGGAGUUAUAUUUCAGUAAACAGCAGAUCCACAAUACUUCACCAAAGGUGGCAAAUGGAGCCCCUUGAAAAAUUGAAGGGUAGGCAGCCUGAGGUUUCCUUGGAUAUUGUGAUUUAGUCACGCUGCUGGAAGCUGAGUUAAUCAAUCUCUUGCUGCUGUUCUUUGCCCAUUGCUGGUUUUCCUCCAAGGGCUUUUUGCAGGUUGUCUAUCUGAAGAAAGCCGAGAAGGAUCCUCUGGGCUGAAGCCUCUUGGUCCCCAGGCUCUACCCUACAGCUGUUGCAGGUUGCACGUGGCCCCAGGCACAGCAAACCUGGGGUUUCUGUCAGCGUGUGGGGCCUUGUGCAAACCUCGGGGCUGGCACCUCAUGAAAAGCCAGUGGUGUGUGAAGAGCUCAGGCUCCUGCUGGUGCUGCUUGGCUUCAGAUACUGCUCAGCUGGCAGCUUCCAGGCCAACACCUUCCAAAGAGGAGAAAGGCCGAGUUCCAGUUUCCAGCCUGACUGGGAGAAGCAGGAGCUUGGAGCACUUGCCAGCCCAAACACCUCCCAGUGGACUCACCCCCAGGUAGAACCCAGCAUUCCUGGCCCAACUCCAACCAUGCAGCAUCUCACCCUCACAUAUGACCUGCAGCCAGCAGCCAGCUCUCCUACAGGUGGUUCAGUGCCUCAGGGCCAGGGCUGCUGGCUCUAAGGGCACAACAGCAUUCUGGGGAGGUCUCAUUUUGAGCUUUCUGUCCCGAAAGUUAAAUCCUCUAGAUUCUGUGAAAGAAACCAAGCAUACAGGCCUAGCUAGCAGCUUCUCUGCUCUGCUCAGGACACUUCUGACAAAGCAACCAAGAGUAUCUACCAACAACUCAUCAUGGGACCAAGUGCAGCAGAACAAUCACAGCCACCCUCUAGCAAUCAGAUGCAAUUGGCUUUAAAUGUUUUCAGAAUGCUUAGCAAGUUAAGGGGACUUUUGAGAGACUCAGCUUUUACUUUCUCAGUAAAAACAAUAUAUAGGGUUGGAACAAAAGCUCUGUGGGUCACAGCAAUAACUGGCCUAAGUUACUACUGGCUAAAGCCUUGUGCACACUAAAAACCACCCCUGCAGAGGAAUCCCUUCUCCUGAGCCUCUCCUGCCAUGUUGCCUAUCACGUCCUGCACCAGGGAGGGCUGAUCCCAGGCAAAAACCCCCAGGAGCUGGACUCAGUGAUGCUGAUGGGUCCCUUCCAACCCAGCAUAUUCUAGAUUCUAUGAAAAGACACUUCCAUACACCAAGAUCUGCUCCUAGACCUGAGGCUUUUUUGGAGAAUAAGGUAAAAGCUGAACGUUGACACAAGCAGAGAGCACAGCAUCCCGGAUCAGUGGAUUUCCUGACCUGAUUCCCAGAAAUGGCUGAUCCUGUUCUGAAAACCCUUUCCUAGAAAGAAACCAGCCUUAGGCUGGUCUGAAAUGUGCUGUUUGGUGGCUUCAGGUUAUGGGACAUUCUCAGUAAUAAAGAGGGAUGUAAGCAAUGCA
This is a long non-coding RNA of Haemorhous mexicanus (house finch), 5291 nucleotides long. RefSeq lists it as uncharacterized. The transcript has 3 exons. Lineage: Eukaryota; Metazoa; Chordata; Aves; Passeriformes; Fringillidae. The record is from RefSeq and is a predicted model, not a curated record.